AGAACGAACGCUGGCGGCAGGCUUAACACAUGCAAGUCGAGCGCCCCGCAAGGGGAGCGGCAGACGGGUGAGUAACGCGUGGGAACAUACCCUCCGGUUCGGAAUAGCUCAGGGAAACUUGGAUUAAUACCGGAUACGGCCUAGCGGCGAAAGAUUGAUCGCCGGAGGAUUGGCCCGCGUCUGAUUAGCUAGUUGGUGGGGUAAUGGCCCACCAAGGCGACGAUCAGUAGCUGGUCUGAGAGGAUGAUCAGCCACAUUGGGACUGAGACACGGCCCAAACUCCUACGGGAGGCAGCAGUGGGGAAUAUUGGACAAUGGGCGCAAGCCUGAUCCAGCCAUGCCGCGUGAGUGAUGACGGCCUUAGGGUUGUAAAGCUCUUUCGCUAGGGACGAUAAUGAACGGUACCUAGACAAGAAGCCCGGCUAACUCGCGCCAGCAGCCGC
RNAcentral lists this ribosomal RNA (443 nucleotides) under uncultured bacterium. RNAcentral's name for it is "SSU rRNA". It matches the Rfam family "Bacterial small subunit ribosomal RNA", at positions 26 to 518 of the family's 1533-position model. The record is from RNAcentral.